AUUGAUUAGGAGUUUAUAAACGUAUUAAUUUUAUUAACAUCUUUACUGUGCCGAGAUUAUUCGCGUGAUUUUUCUACCACGUCUAUUCUCUAGAAAAUUGAGAAAUUUAUAGAUACGAAUAAUUAUCUAACCGUGAUAAGAUGAAAAUUUUACCCCACCAUCACCGAAGUUAUAACAGCGCAGGAACGUUAGAACAAACAUACCUUUGUUGAAACAAUAAUAUAAUAGGAAAAUUCUACCCUAAAAGUCAUCGCUGCGCAAGAGCAGUUAAAAAAUUACUUAAAAAUGAUAAAAAUGCUGAAAUCAGAUCGUUGUAAUUUUAAAAUGUAUUGAUUAGAUGAAUUAUUCCUUUUUUACACAUGCGCAACGUUCGAAAAGUCAUUUAAUAAAAGUACGUACAUAGAAAACAAAGGCUCAUUUCAACCGCAGAUUUCGAAGAGGACAGUGCAUAGAUCAUACAUUCCGAGCACUUAGACAAAUAAAAAUAUUUCUAUCGAUUAAUUAACAAUUAUUUAAAUAAUCUAAUACACUCUUUUUAUAUUUCACAUUGUUUAAACAUAUAUGUACUAGUAUAAGAAUUACAUACAUAUUAACAUGUUUUAAAUAAUAAAUGAUUUCGAUAUGAAA
This is a long non-coding RNA of Polistes canadensis, 627 nucleotides long. RefSeq lists it as uncharacterized. NCBI's taxonomy places the organism in Eukaryota, Metazoa, Arthropoda, Insecta, Hymenoptera, Vespidae. The record is from RefSeq and is a predicted model, not a curated record. The transcript is spliced from 2 exons.